RNAcentral lists this ribosomal RNA (253 nucleotides) under uncultured bacterium. RNAcentral describes it as "partial 16S ribosomal RNA". It matches the Rfam family "Bacterial small subunit ribosomal RNA", at positions 524 to 776 of the family's 1533-position model. The record is from RNAcentral.
UACAGAGGUCUCAAGCGUUGUUCGGAUUCAUUGGGCGUAAAGGGUGCGUAGGCGGUGAUGCAAGUCUGGUGUGAAAUCUCGGAGCUCAACUCCGAAAUUGCACCGGAUACUGCGUGACUCGAGGACUGUAGAGGAUAUCGGAAUUCACGGUGUAGCAGUGAAAUGCGUAGAUAUCGUGAGGAACACCAGUUGCGAAGGCGGAUCUCUGGGCAGUUCCUGACACUGAGGCACGAAAGCCAGGGGAGCAAACGGG